Molecule: ribosomal RNA, 251 nt
Filed under: uncultured bacterium
Lineage: Bacteria
Description: partial 16S ribosomal RNA
Rfam family: Bacterial small subunit ribosomal RNA
Source: RNAcentral
GACGGGGGGGGCAAGUGUUCUUCGGAAUGACUGGGCGUAAAGGGCACGUGGGCGGUGAAUCGGGUUGAAAGUGAAAGUCGCCAAAAAGUGGCGGAAUGCUCUCGAAACCAAUUCACUUGAGUGAGACAGAGGAGAGUGGAAUUUCGUGUGUAGGGGUGAAAUCCGUAAAUAUACGAAGGAACGCCAAAAGCGAAGGCAGCUCUCUGGGUCCCUACCGACGCUGGGGUGCGAAAGCAUGGGGAGCGAACAGG